This 118-nucleotide ribosomal RNA is filed under the name uncultured bacterium. RNAcentral describes it as "partial 16S ribosomal RNA". It matches the Rfam family "Bacterial small subunit ribosomal RNA", at positions 1358 to 1482 of the family's 1533-position model. The record is from RNAcentral.
UACGGUGAAUACGUUCCCGGACCUUGCACACACCCGCCCGUCAAGCCAUGGAAGCCGGGUGUACCUAAAGUCGGUAACCGUAAGGAGCCGCCUAGGGGUAAAACUGGUGACUGGGGCU